RNAcentral lists this transfer RNA (72 nucleotides) under Marmota monax (woodchuck). RNAcentral's name for it is "tRNA.Val". The record is from RNAcentral. Lineage: Eukaryota; Metazoa; Chordata; Mammalia; Rodentia; Sciuridae.
UGAGUUGUAGCUCAGUGAUAGAGUACUUACCUCACAUGCACAAGGUCCUGGGUUCAAUCUGCAGUAACUCAC